This 73-nucleotide transfer RNA is filed under the name Lachnospiraceae bacterium. RNAcentral's name for it is "tRNA-Tyr". It matches the Rfam family "tRNA". From Rfam's summary of the family: Transfer RNA (tRNA) molecules are approximately 80 nucleotides in length. Their secondary structure includes four short double-helical elements and three loops (D, anti-codon, and T loops). Lineage: Bacteria; Bacillati; Bacillota; Clostridia; Lachnospirales; Lachnospiraceae. The record is from RNAcentral.
AGGGCGGUAGCUCAGGGGUGAGAGCGGCGGCCUGUAAAGCUCGGUGUCGUGGGUUCGACUCCCACCCGCCCUA